CUGGUGGUGUUCGGGGACUGAGGAGCUGGCUGUUCGGGCGGAGGAAGCGUGUGUCACUGUGUGUAUCCGUGAGGGCUGCGCCCUGGGUGUAGCUCAGUGGGGUGUAAAUCCCUGAGUCUGCGACUUGAAGGCUCUUGAUGACCAGAGGAAAGGAUCCUUGGUCCCACAGGAUUUUUUUGCAUUCAAAGCGAGUUUUCAGCUUGGAGGAGCCUGGGAGCAGAAGCCACGUGGAGGAGGUUGGGGUACCCUGAAGACACGACAUCGCCGGAGAGGGCAAUGCCCACAGCCUUUCUGAUCUCAGUCGCUAAAUUUCUGCAGAAUCUGUCCCUAAUCUGAAAACCCCAGACUGGAGAGGAGGUCCCAUCAACAUUCACUUAAUUGGCCAGGACAAUGUCUCACUAAUCCAAAAUAAAACGAGACCCUAAUUUCAAGACCACCAACUCCUACAUGCCAAGUACUUUCCACGCAUCAUCACCAGUGAUCUUCACAAUGAUUCCAAGAAGUAGGUACUGUUUGGCUUGUUUUGUAGAUAAGGGAACAGAGGCUCAGACUCUUACUUUACACAUUGCUGGCAGGAACAUAAACCAGUACAAUUUCUUUGGAGGGUAAUUUAUAACAUCUACCCGAAUUAUAAAGUCACAUACAAAAAUAACUGUCCACCAGGAAAGAAUAGGUUAAGUAAAUAAUUCACCCAUUCAGUGGAAUGCUGUACAAGAAGGAAGCUCUUUCACGGUUAAGAAAGGAAUAAUAAAUAGUUAAGACACGUCAUUAACUAAAUCGAGCAAGAUAUUGAACAGGCUACCAUUUGUCUAAAAAGGAGGGAGAAAUCUGUCUAUCGAUAUCUAUUUCUCUAUCAUCUGCCUUGUAUAGGAACAAAUAUUUCUAGAAAUAAAUGUAAGAAAAUGGUAA
Molecule: long non-coding RNA, 909 nt
Organism: Felis catus (domestic cat)
Lineage: Eukaryota; Metazoa; Chordata; Mammalia; Carnivora; Felidae
Exons: 2
Source: RefSeq, a predicted model, not a curated record